Molecule: long non-coding RNA, 509 nt
Organism: Vespa velutina
Lineage: Eukaryota; Metazoa; Arthropoda; Insecta; Hymenoptera; Vespidae
Exons: 2
Source: RefSeq, a predicted model, not a curated record
GUCGUCGGAUUCGCCAGGAAGGUGUAGGGCCGUGGUAUUCCUCUUACACUUUUCGUACAUUCGAGUUUAACUCAGAUCCGUUUAACUCGUCGAAACUAAAUGGACGAAAAGAUCGCCGAAGAGUAGUAAAUUUGUUUGUAUUCAUUUCGUUUUUCUUCUUUUUAUUUUUUUUUUUUUUUUUUGCUUUUUUUUUCUUUACGAUAGUGGUGCCCGGUGAAAGUGGGGAAAGAAUUUAGUCAGCAGUUAAUCCGAAUUGUCGAAGUUCCGUCGGAUGAUUACGGUGUCGCGAGCACGCAUUUGAGAAUCUCCCGAUAGAGAUUUUCUUUUCAAAGCCAACGAGAAUCGUGGGACUCUUUCGUGAUCGAUGAGAGUGAUCUCGAUGAGUUAUCAGCUUCUCCUUCUUAUUAUUUCUUUUUGGAGUGAUCCUAGAAAAUAACAACGGAAAGGAGAGAACUAGUCGUACGAAGGAAAAGACAGAAGAAGAAGAAGAAGAAGAAGAAAAAAAAGAA